AGUCGGGAAUUUUGCUCAAUGGGGGAAACCCUGAAGCAGCAACGCCGCGUGAGGGAUGAAGGCCUUCGGGUUGUAAACCUCUUUUGUCAGGGACGAUGAUGACGGUACCUGGCGAAUAAGCCACGGCUAACUACGUGCCAGCAGCCGCGGUAAUACGUAGGUGGCAAGCGUUGUCCGGAUUUACUGGGCGUAAAGAGCGCGCAGGCGGUCUUGUAAGUCGAAUGUGAAAGCCCCUGGCUCAACCAGGGAGGGUCAUUCGAUACUGCUUGACUCGAAGGCAGGAGAGGGAAGUGGAAUUCCGGGUGUAGUGGUGAAAUGCGUAGAUAUCCGGAGGAACACCAGUGGCGAAGGCGACUUUCUGGCCUGUUCUUGACGCUGAGGCGCGAAAGCUAGGGGAGCAAA
This 402-nucleotide ribosomal RNA is filed under the name uncultured Chloroflexota bacterium. Its description in RNAcentral is "bacterial SSU rRNA". It matches the Rfam family "Bacterial small subunit ribosomal RNA", at positions 353 to 772 of the family's 1533-position model. Lineage: Bacteria; Bacillati; Chloroflexota. The record is from RNAcentral.